This 441-nucleotide ribosomal RNA is filed under the name uncultured bacterium. RNAcentral's name for it is "bacterial SSU rRNA". It matches the Rfam family "Bacterial small subunit ribosomal RNA", at positions 958 to 1399 of the family's 1533-position model. The record is from RNAcentral.
AACGCGAAGAACCUUACCUGGGCUCGAAAUGUUAUGGACCGGAGUGGAAACAUUCCUUCCCCGCAAGGGGCCGUAAUAUAGGUGCUGCAUGGCUGUCGUCAGCUCGUGUCGUGAGAUGUUGGGUUAAGUCCCGCAACGAGCGCAACCCUUAUCUUCAGUUGCUACCAUUUAGUUGAGCACUCUGACGAAACCGCCUCGGAUAACGGGGAGGAAGGUGGGGAUGACGUCAAGUCCUCAUGGCCUUUAUGUCCAGGGCUACACACGUGCUACAAUGGCCGGUACAAACCGUCGCAAACCCGUGAGGGGGAGCUAAUCGGAAAAAGCCGGCCUCAGUUCGGAUCGUAGUCUGCAACUCGACUACGUGAAGCUGGAAUCGCUAGUAAUCGCGGAUCAGAAUGCCGCGGUGAAUACGUUCCCGGGCCUUGUACACACCGCUCGCGA